UCAGUCCCAGUGGGACUCUCCCACAAAAUCUUAGUCUGAGUAGGACUCUUCACUAGAGUCCCAAUCUAAUUGGACUCUUCAGCCAUCAGAUCUGAUCAAAUCUUCUAAUGUGUGUGACCCCAUAGGUUCGAACCUAAACUGAUAGCAUAGAAAUAAUUUUUUAUAUAAAUUGAUGUAACCAUCUAGCAAUGGUGACCCGAC
Molecule: long non-coding RNA, 201 nt
Filed under: Elaeis guineensis (African oil palm)
Lineage: Eukaryota; Viridiplantae; Streptophyta; Magnoliopsida; Arecales; Arecaceae
Description: long non-coding RNA (EGUI_LNC031850)
Source: RNAcentral